Harpia harpyja (harpy eagle) is the source of this 5630-nucleotide RNA transcript. It is a transcript of the gene named zinc finger FYVE-type containing 16, with no coding region annotated. The transcript is spliced from 18 exons. Lineage: Eukaryota; Metazoa; Chordata; Aves; Accipitriformes; Accipitridae. The record is from RefSeq and is a predicted model, not a curated record.
CGUAGCCGUCGUCGUCCGGCAGCCGCUGGCGGGGGGAGGGGCGGCCUGUGAAGUGGGCGGCCGGCGGCGUCGGUACCCUCCCCGCCGCAGGAGCGCCGCGUUCUGCCCCGGGUCCCGCCUGUCCCCCUCGCCCGGCGGCCCGGGAGGGCAGCCCUGCUCCGCCGCCGGGGGGUUUAAGAAGGCUAAAGCUUCACUAGAACUUUAACUAGAAUGGACAGUUACUUUAAAGCUGCAGUCUGUGACUUGGACAAACUACUUGAUGAAUUUGAACAGAAUACAGAUGAAUAUGACUGCUACAAAACAUCUCAAAAUCCGUACGACUCAAAACACCAUUCACUUUCUUCGGUUCUGGACUGCUUACAACAUGUAUACCCAACACCAAAACUGGAAGAGGAUGCUAACAAUUGUGCUUCAUCAGAAGAAAUCUCUCUGGCUAGCCACAUUGGAACAAGUGAAGUGCUUCUGAGUUAUUCACCUCAAAAUGAGAAGAGUGUUGCUGGGCCUGAUCUUUUGUCCACUGUGGACAGUGGUUCCUUAAACGAAAUUCAGGCUUCAAACCUGGGAAGGUGUAGUAUACCUGUGUGUGAUCUUGUUAAUGACACAGGUAACUCAAUCCAUUCAGUGGCUGCUCAUGAAGAUACUAAAAAGUUGCAGCCAGAUGACUUCCAGUACAGUCAGGGUUUGAUUGGCUUUGGCAUAUCUUGCAUACCUGUUCCUACUUGCGUGUCAUCAGCUGGUUGCAGCGGUGUUUCAGGUACAGAGCAGAGUGAUGGGGUCUCAAUGCUACAAGAUUCAGGACGUCUUAAAACAGAGGAGAUUAAUCAUUUAGCUUUAAAAUCACACAGUUAUGCUACAGCAAAGAUCUCGGAUCCAUGUGAUGAUGAACACAGGACAGAAUCUGUGAAGUGCAGUGAAGUAUUUGAUCAGCUUGAACAAACUGCUCGCCUUAAUACUGUAUGUGUCCCUGUAACACCACAGAAUUUGAAUGCGUACAGUCCCAAAGAUGAGAAAGCAUAUGAAAAAUUGCCUUGUGAACCACGAGAUGAAAGUGCAUGUUCUACAGUAAGCAAAGACACACGUGAAAGAAAUGCCAUAGAAAAGGUAGACUCAAAAGAUGAGAGUAAUGUUGAAUCCAUGCCUUCAGAUCUGUCAAAGAGGCCUCCGUUGCACAAAAACCAUGCAACAUUACCUGGAAAUUGUGUUUUACCAUGUCAAGCAGGAGCUAAAGUAGAAUUGGAAAAGAAAAUCACAGAGGAGAAUGUAGGUAGUGAAGAGCUUAAUAGCAAUGAAAUACUAAACAGUGUUUCAACUUCGUGUAUUUCAGUUGAGGAUGUCCAGGCCUCGCUGUCAUGUCUUCCACUUCCUGUAUCUACAUGUGGUUCAUUAGUUGUAACGGAAGAAAAAGUUAAUCCUCUACAUCAAAACGAAAUGGCGGAGGUUCUUAGUGAUAUUUUGACUGUUCAUACUGGAAAGUCUAGAACUGAUCUCUCCAGUAGGGAAUCCUGUGAAAACACUGACUUGCAUGAACAGGAAGAAUAUAUAGCUAAAAUCAAAGAAAGUAUUGUGGAAGAAAGUGCAGAUGGAGAGAAGUAUGACACUGAGAAUGUAAUUGAUGACAGUGAUUCUCAGCAAAUCAAAGCUUUUGCUUCUGCUUUUCUGGAAUACAAAGCUGAGCUGUAUGGUGUUGGUGUAGACUAUUACAACAAUGAAAGUAUGAGCCUAGCUAUGACUGACUUUACUGUUGACGAGAAUGUUAUUAAAAGUGAUAGUCUAAUAAGUGAUGCUGAACUUGAUGAUUUCUUGUAUGGACAAAGUCUUCAGGCCAAUGUGUUGAAGUCUUCAGACAAUGAUACUAACUUAAUGGAAGUUGAUGCAGAUGAAGGGAAUUUAACAAAUGUGAACAACCUGGAUUUCACAGAGGUCACUGAAGAACAUAGGCAAGCAAAACUGGAGGAGAUACCGAGCAUUAAUAGUAAUCUUAAAGUAUCUCUUAUGGCCAAUGAAUCGGAAUCUGCAGUAGAAGAGGGUAUGUCUUGUAUCCAGGACAUGAGUGAGAGUGGUAGUGAAGCACUAGUUUCUAACAUUUGUACUGGAGGUGCAAGACCAAAGCAGUUGCUUGGCCUUUCCCAAGGAGCUGUUGGUCAGAGACAACUGAAUAGAACAGAUGUACUUGAGAGAGAAAACCAGGAAGCCAGUUCUGUUACCCCAGAAGCUCCCCUCUCAGGCACCAGUGUAAAUGUUGGUAAAAAUUCUGACCCUGUGCACUCUGGGGAAAGCAGCUCUGAAGCUGGAGGAAAUCAAACAUCUGAAAAUGUAGAAUCACUUAAAUUACCUGCAGCUCUCUCACGGAAACAGCCAUUGUGGGUUCCCGAUUCAGAGGCACCCAACUGCAUGAACUGCCAAGUCAAGUUCACAUUUACAAAAAGACGACACCACUGUCGUGCAUGUGGAAAGGUUUUUUGUGGUGGCUGUUGCAAACGCAAGUGCAAACUACAGUACAUGGAGAAGGAAGCAAGAGUCUGUACUGGCUGUUAUGAUCAUAUUAAUAAAGCACAGGCAUUUGAAAGGAUGAUGAGUCCAACUGGUACUGUCCCCAAGUCCAGUAUCUCCUCUGAGUGUUCUUCUGCUGUUCCACCUUUGGAGGAAGCCCAGAUGUCUGGUAGUGCUCGCUCUCCUUCACCUUCUGCAUUGUUACCUAUCUCAGUACUUAAACAACCUGGUGUUGAAGGGCUGUGCCCCAAAGAACAGAGGAGAGUUUGGUUUGCAGAUGGUAUUUUGCCAAAUGGUGAAGUGGCAGAUACAAUAAAACUUUCUUCUGGAGCAAAGAGGUUGUCACAGGACUUCAGUCCAGUAAACCCUGACUUGCCAGAGAUGCAUAUGGCUGCCAAUGCAGUGGAAGGUGACAUACUAACUGAUGUAAAUCCAAAACCGAAGGAAGAAACUGAUACUGUUACAAGAAUGGAGAAACCAUGUCCUUCUGUUUCUUCAGAUGAUGCACAGCAGUCUGUUCCAGGCCAGAGUGAGGUGGUACAUAGGUAUAAAUCUGUAACUCUGGAAACUAAAGCAUGCUCUCCUACUGCAGAAGCUGAGAAGACUAGUUCCAGUUCAGUUGAUCAGACUACAAGUGGUGUCCCUGUUAGCCCUUCAAGUUGCAGAGCACUGUGUGGUGUUGAAAACUGUGUUCGUAAAGAGAUCAGCCUUGUUCCUGAUGAUGAUAAACUGCCACCACUUUUGCUUGCAGUGGGUGAAAAAGGAAAAGAUCGUCUAGUGGAAGAACGUCCAUCUCACCAACAGGUCACCUUGCUUCUUGUGGAAGGAAGUCCUAAUCCGUUAACUUUUAUCCUAAAUGCAAACUUGCUUGUAAAUGUCAAGCUAAUAACUUAUUCUUCAGAAAAGUGCUGGUACUUCUCAACAAAUGGACUACAUGGUUUGGGUCAGGCAGAAAUUAUCAUUCUGUUGCAGUGUUUGCCAGAUGAAGAGAUUUUUCCUAGUGAAGUAUUCAGAUUAUUUAUCAACAUCUAUAAGGAUGCAAUGAAAGGAAAAUUAAUAAGAAACAUGGAAAACAUCACUUUUACUGAAAACUUUCUCAGUAACAAAGAGCAUGGAGGAUUCCUGUUUGUUUCACCAAGUUUUCAGAAACUUGAAGAUCAAAUUCUACCAGAAAACCCUUUUCUUUGUGGCAUUCUCAUCCAUAAGCUGGAAAUACCCUGGGCAAAAGUUUUUCCAAUCCGUUUAAUGUUGAGAAUGGGAGCAGAAUAUGGGGCAUAUCCAACUUCUGUAGUAAGUUUCAGGGACCGGAAGCCACUCUUUGGAGAGAUUGGACAAACAAUUAUGAAUCUACUUGUUGACCUUAGAAAUUAUCAGUAUACUGUGCAUACCAUAGAAGAUCUGUUUGUUCAUGUGGAAGUGGGUAGAAGCUGUAUUAAAAUACCCCUAAGGAAGUAUAAUGAGGUAAUGAAGGUGAUAAACUCUUCUAAUGAACAUGUAAUUAGUAUAGGAGCAAGUUUUAAUACUGAAGCAGAUUCUCACUUAGUGUGUGUGCAGAAUAAGCAUGGCCUCUAUCACACACAAGCAAUCAGUGCUACUGGACAUCCUAGGAGAGUUACAGGUGCAAGUUUUGUGGUGUUUAAUGGAGCUUUAAAAACAUCUUCAGGAUUUUUAGCUAAAUCCAGUAUAGUUGAAGAUGGACUAAUGGUACAAAUAACACCAGAAAUGAUGGAAAGCCUACGUCAGGCGUUAAGAGACAAGAAGGACUUUAAAAUAACUUGUGGAAAAACGGAUACAGGAGACAUAAAAGAAUAUGUAGAUAUUUGCUGGGUAGAAAAUGAAGAAAAAACAAACAAAGGCAUUUUAAGCCCAGUCGAUGGAAAAUCAUUGGAAGGAACUCAGCAUGAAAAAGUACCACAAGACAGAGACUUUGAAAGAGAGGGAAAAGUUAUGAAGUGUACCGAAGUGUACUAUUUUCUGAAGGACCAUGAACUAUCCAGUCCUGUUCCUCACCAGUUUGCUAAAGAGAUUGCUGUUGCCUGCAGUACUGCUCUUUGCCCACACCUUAAAACCUUGAAAAAUAAUGGGAUGAAUAAGAUAGGCCUAAGAGUUUCUAUUGACUCAGAUACGGUAAUCUUUCAACUCUUAUUGCAGACAUUCCAUUUCAACUGAAAUCUCUUUCUUGGAAAGAUGUUGCAUCUCUUUCUGAAUGUUUUUAGUUUUUUGCCCUACCCCAGAUCCAGACUGAGGAUGAAAUUUCAUGAAGAAGCUGUCUUAAUGACUAGUUUUUCUUCAAAGUAAUAGUCCUCUUUCCUUAUUCUGCCCAAACUCCCCAAUAGCUGCCUGCAGUAAGCUACCAGUCCUUCCCUAGUUCUAACUCUCUGGCACUCAUCUGCCUCUAAGGUUGAGUACUUGGCUGGAUCUGGAGGUUACCUUCUUCCACAGAUCUAUCUGAAUGAAUUGGACAGUGCUCUGAUUCCUGUGAUUCAUGGUGGGAUGUCAGAUCCUAUGAAUCUACCAGUGAAAAUUGAAUUAAUAUUUUUCAUCAGAGAACAUCUGUUUUGAUGAGGCUGAUUACAGGCAAUACACUGAUUUGCUAGAUCUGAACACCAAAGUUAUAAUGCUACAAACACUAAAAAUGUUGAAGUUUCUAAACCUGUUAUGUUUUAAUAGAUUUUCAAACUUUUCUAAAACCCUCAAAUCCUCUCUGGUUACUUUGCCACAAAAGAACUGUAGUUUGUAAUGUUUCCUAAAGUUCUGAAAGUUUACACUUAAUACAGGUGCAGAAGAGGGCAGGUUUUGUUACCUCUUUACACAGUUGUAGCAUUUACUAUAUGUAGUGUAACUUUAAGCCAUACUAUCUUGCCUCUUAACCUCAGACAAGUGUUACUAAAAAUCGCUGUGGUGAGAUCUCAUCUCUGCAGUGUGUGCUUUCCAUCUAUAAAUGAGCUAAACACUGAAGCAGAAGCUGGCACAAAACUUUCCUUGCUGUUUAAGAUUCAAAUAUGAGCUCUUCUAUAGCUGUCUGCAAACUUCCGGCAUCAGUACAAAAUACAAGUGCACACCUUCUGACACUUGUUUAUGGUCAGCACAAGGAAGAAUUUUGCAGGUAUGUUUAUGAAGACACUGUAGUUGAAAUCCUU